This 70-nucleotide transfer RNA is filed under the name Marmota monax (woodchuck). RNAcentral's name for it is "tRNA.Undet". The record is from RNAcentral. Lineage: Eukaryota; Metazoa; Chordata; Mammalia; Rodentia; Sciuridae.
GGAGUUGUGGCUCAGUGGCAGAAUACUCGCCUAGCCAUGUGGGAGGUCCUGGGUUCCAUCCUCAGCACCA